RNAcentral lists this ribosomal RNA (468 nucleotides) under uncultured bacterium. Its description in RNAcentral is "partial 16S ribosomal RNA". It matches the Rfam family "Bacterial small subunit ribosomal RNA", at positions 28 to 507 of the family's 1533-position model. The record is from RNAcentral.
GACGAACGCUGGCGGCGUGCUUAACACAUGCAAGUCGAACGGAAAGGCCCUGCUUUUGUGGGGUGCUCGAGUGGCGAACGGGUGAGUAACACGUGAGUAACCUGCCCUUUACUUUGGGAUAACUUCAGGAAACUGGGGCUAAUACCGGAUAGGAGCUCCUGCUGCAUGGUGGGGGUUGGAAAGUUUCGGCGGUUGGGGAUGGACUCGCGGCUUAUCAGCUUGUUGGUGGGGUAGUGGCUUACCAAGGCUUUGACGGGUAGCCGGCCUGAGAGGGUGACCGGCAACAUGGGGACUGAGAUACGGCCCAGACUCCUACGGGGGGCAGCAGUGGGGAAUAUUGCACAAUGGGCGGAAGCCUGAUGCAGCAACGCCGCGUGCGGGAUGACGGCCUUCGGGUUGUAAACCGCUUUCGCCUGUGACGAAGCGUGAGUGACGGUAAUGGGUAAAGAAGCACCGGCUAACUACGUG